UACGUAGGGGGCAAGCGUUGUCCGGAAUCAUUGGGCGUAAAGCGCGCGUAGGCGGCCCUGUUAGUCCGCUGUAAAAGUCAAAGGCUCAACCUUUGAAUGCCGGUGGAUACUGCAGGGCUAGAGUCCGGAAGAGGCGAGUGGAACUCCUGGUGUAGCGGUGGAAUGCGCAGAUAUCAGGAAGAACACCAACGGCGAAGGCAGCUCGCUGGGACGGAACUGACGCUAAGGCGCGAAAGCGUGGGGAGCGAACAGG
This 253-nucleotide ribosomal RNA is filed under the name uncultured bacterium. Its description in RNAcentral is "partial 16S ribosomal RNA". It matches the Rfam family "Bacterial small subunit ribosomal RNA", at positions 524 to 776 of the family's 1533-position model. The record is from RNAcentral.